CAGCCGUAAACGAUGUGCGUUAGGUGUAUCGACGACCACGAGUCGUCGAGGUGCCGAAGGGAAACCGUGAAACGUACCGCCUGGGAAGUACGGUCGCAAGGCUGAAACUUAAAGGAAUUGGCGGGAGAGCACCACAACGGGUGGAGCUUGCGGUUUAAUUGGAUUCAACGCCGGAAAUCUUACCGGGACCGACAGCAACAUGAAGGCCAAGCUGAAGACUUUGCCGGAUUAGCUGAGAGGAGGUGCAUGGCGUAGUCGUGU
This 261-nucleotide ribosomal RNA is filed under the name uncultured archaeon. Its description in RNAcentral is "partial 16S ribosomal RNA". It matches the Rfam family "Archaeal small subunit ribosomal RNA", at positions 748 to 1009 of the family's 1478-position model. The record is from RNAcentral.